UACGAAGGGGGCUAGCGUUGCUCGGAAUCACUGGGCGUAAAGGGUGCGUAGGCGGGUCUUUAAGUCAAGGGUGAAAUCCUGGAGCUCAACUCCAGAACUGCCUUUGAUACUGAGGAUCUUGAGUAUGGGAGAGGUGAGUGGAACUGCGAGUGUAGAGGUGAAAUUCGUAGAUAUUCGCAAGAACACCAGUGGCGAAGGCGGCUCACUGGCCCAUUACUGACGCUGAGGCACGAAAGCGUGGGGAGCAAACAGG
RNAcentral lists this ribosomal RNA (253 nucleotides) under uncultured bacterium. Its description in RNAcentral is "partial 16S ribosomal RNA". It matches the Rfam family "Bacterial small subunit ribosomal RNA", at positions 524 to 776 of the family's 1533-position model. The record is from RNAcentral.